GUGCUCACUUCGGCAGCACAUAUACCAAAAUUGGAAGGAUACAGAAAUUAGCAUGGCCUCUGUGCAAGGAUGACAGGCAAAUUCGUGAAGUGUUCCCUAUUUUA
Jaculus jaculus (lesser Egyptian jerboa) is the source of this 104-nucleotide small nuclear RNA. The record is from RefSeq and is a predicted model, not a curated record. Lineage: Eukaryota; Metazoa; Chordata; Mammalia; Rodentia; Dipodidae.